This 201-nucleotide long non-coding RNA is filed under the name Vigna radiata. Its description in RNAcentral is "long non-coding RNA (VRAD_LNC009250)". The record is from RNAcentral. Lineage: Eukaryota; Viridiplantae; Streptophyta; Magnoliopsida; Fabales; Fabaceae.
CUGUUUUGAGAAUCUAAUUAGUUAAAACUUUGGAUUGUUUUAUUUGAAUAGUGAAUGUAUAUUCAUUGCAUGAAUUUUUUUUUAAGUAUGUGUUACUAUGUUAGUAUGGGAAGUUAACUUUUCUUGUCUUCAAUUUUUUUAUUUUUUUCGUAUGCAUGCAUAGUGAGUAUUGUUCUGCAAUGCAAAUAGUUUGUAUAUUAU